UGGGGAAUUUUGCGCAAUGGGGGAAACCCUGACGCAGCAACGCCGCGUGGAGGAUGAAGUCCCUUGGGACGUAAACUCCUUUCGAUCGGGACGAUAAUGACGGUACCGGAAGAAGAAGCCCCGGCUAACUUCGUGCCAGCAGCCGCGGUAAUACGAGGGGGGCAAGCGUUGUUCGGAAUUAUCGGGCGUAAAGGGCGCGUAGGCGGUGCGGUAAGAGUGUUGUGAAAUCUUCGGGCUCAACUCGAAGUCUGCAACGCUGACUGCCGUGCUUGAGUGUGGGAGAGGUGAGUGGAAUUCCUGGUGUAGCGGUGAAAUGCGUAGAUAUCAGGAGGAACACCUGUGGCGAAAGCGGCUCACUGGACCACAACUGACGCUGAUGCGCGAAAGCUAGGGGAGCAAACAG
RNAcentral lists this ribosomal RNA (403 nucleotides) under uncultured bacterium. RNAcentral describes it as "bacterial SSU rRNA". It matches the Rfam family "Bacterial small subunit ribosomal RNA", at positions 355 to 775 of the family's 1533-position model. The record is from RNAcentral.